GAGGAAUGUAUAGCAAUAGCUACUUGCAUCAUUGCAUAGAUGAUGCAAGAUCGACUAUGUCGAAUAAAAUUCUAGGUAGAAUUAUGAUAAUGACAUUGUCUGCCUAUGUGUCUUGACCAAAUUACGUGCCAGCAGUCGCGGUAAUACGUAGAAGACUAGUGUUAUUCAUGUUUAAUCGGUUUAAAGGGUACCUAGACGGCNAAUCAAGCUUUCAAAUAAAGAAAAUUAAAGUACUAAUUUGCUAGAGUUACUUAUGAGGGGGUUUUAAAGUACUGCUGGUGUAGAGAUGAAAUUCUGUCAUACCUUUUUUCAAAAGAAAAAUUAUGGCACAGGUAUAGGCGAAGGCAUCCCCUUAUGUGAUAACUGACGUUGAGGGACGAAGGCUUUGUAUAGCGAACAGGAUUAGAUACCCCAGUAGUCGAAGCAGAAAAUGAUGAAUGUCAUAGAUUAGAUAUAUAAGUUUAUUCUAUAAAUGAAAGUGUAAGCAUUCCACCUCAUGAGUAAUUUGGCAACAUUGGAACUGAAAUCAUUAGACCGUUUCUGAAACCAG
RNAcentral lists this ribosomal RNA (550 nucleotides) under Parmeliopsis ambigua. RNAcentral describes it as "SSU rRNA". It matches the Rfam family "Bacterial small subunit ribosomal RNA", at positions 356 to 929 of the family's 1533-position model. Lineage: Eukaryota; Fungi; Ascomycota; Lecanoromycetes; Lecanorales; Parmeliaceae. The record is from RNAcentral.